AAGCUCGUAGUUGAAUUUCGGGAUUAGUACGUCGGUCGUGCCUUAGGUACGUACUGGUGUUACUGGUUUCUACCUUCUGACGAACCAUCAUGUCAUUAAUUUGGUGUGGUGGGUAAUCAGGACUGUUACUUUGAAAAAAUUAGAGUGUUUAAAGCAGGCUCGCGCUUGAAUACAUUAGCAUGGAAUAAUGAAAUAGGACGUUGAUCCUAUUUUGUUGGUUUCUAGGAUUGACGUAAUGAUUAAUAGGGAUAGUUGGG
This 257-nucleotide ribosomal RNA is filed under the name uncultured Glomus. Its description in RNAcentral is "partial 18S ribosomal RNA". It matches the Rfam family "Eukaryotic small subunit ribosomal RNA", at positions 624 to 886 of the family's 1831-position model. Lineage: Eukaryota; Fungi; Glomeromycota; Glomeromycetes; Glomerales; Glomeraceae. The record is from RNAcentral.